Molecule: ribosomal RNA, 252 nt
Filed under: uncultured bacterium
Lineage: Bacteria
Description: partial 16S ribosomal RNA
Rfam family: Bacterial small subunit ribosomal RNA
Source: RNAcentral
UACAGAGGUCUCAAGCGUUGUUCGGAUUUAUUGGGCGUAAAGGGCGCGUAGGCGGCGGGGUAAGUCGGGUGUGAAAUCUCAGGGCUCAACCCUGAAACUGCACUUGAUACUGCUCUGCUUGGGACUGGAGAGGAGACUGGAAUUCACGGUGUAGCAGUGAAAUGCGUAGAUAUCGUGAGGAAGACCAGUGGCGAAGGCGGGUCUCUGGACAGUUCCUGACGCUGAGGCGCGAAGGCCAGGGGAGCAAACGGG